AGGGAUCAUUACUGAGUUACCGCUCUACAACCCUUUGUGAACAUACCUCAACUGUUGCUUCGGCGGGCAGGAGGACAAACCCCCCUCGGGGGGCUGUCCCCCUCCCGGCCGCGCCCUCACGGGCGUGGCGCCCGCCGGAGGAUACCAAACUCUAUUUUAACGACGUUUCUUCUGAGUGGCACAAGCAAAUAAUUAAAACUUUUAACAACGGAUCUCUUGGUUCUGGCAUCGAUGAAGAACGCAGCGAAAUGCGAUAAGUAAUGUGAAUUGCAGAAUUCAGUGAAUCAUCGAAUCUUUGAACGCACAUUGCGCCCGCCAGCAUUCUGGCGGGCAUGCCUGUUCGAGCGUCAUUUCAACCCUCAAGCCCAGCUUGGUGUUGAGGCCCUACGGUUUGACGUAGGCCCUUAAAGGUAGUGGCGGACCCUCCCGGAGCCUCCAUUGCGUAGUAACUUAACGUCUCGCACUGGGAUCCGGAGGGACUCUUGCCGUAAAGCCCCCAAAACUUUUACAGGUUGACCUCGGAUCAGGUAGGAAUACCCGCUGAACUUAA
This 550-nucleotide ribosomal RNA is filed under the name Colletotrichum nicotianae. RNAcentral describes it as "eukaryotic LSU rRNA". The stretch from base 197 to 350 matches the Rfam family "5.8S ribosomal RNA". The record is from RNAcentral. Lineage: Eukaryota; Fungi; Ascomycota; Sordariomycetes; Glomerellales; Glomerellaceae.